This 524-nucleotide long non-coding RNA is filed under the name Pongo abelii (Sumatran orangutan). Its description in RNAcentral is "lincRNA". The record is from RNAcentral. Lineage: Eukaryota; Metazoa; Chordata; Mammalia; Primates; Hominidae.
UUCGCCCUCAGCCCCUGCCUCGGCCAGAGGUUUCAUUUUUAACUGAAUAUUUACGAAAGCUGGAAGCGUGCGAGGGGGGUGGGGUGGGGUGGAAAUAGCGGCUGCUUCUUUUCCAGGGAUUUAUUUAAUGGGGAUGUGUUCAAGGCAAGAGCGAAUUCAGAAGGAUAUCGACGUCGUGAUCCAGAAGUCCAGAGCUGAGAAGGACUGCCUGUUUGCAGAUUAGCAAUAAACUCCUUAAAACUCAAAGGUUUGGGCUUCUGUUCCUUUCACUUGCAGUCAGACAUGGAGUUAGUGGUAGAAGGAACAGAAGGGUUAACCUGCAUGGUGACAGCUACUGAGGGGAUGGAUAGGAAAGCAGGCUGAGUCCCUGGGGCCAGUGGUUACCAAAGCCAAGGAGAGAGCAAGGGGAGCCCAGUGGGCCUGGCCAUGGAAUUCCAAGUGGGAACUUUCAGCCAGGAAUGUAUUGUGAAAAUAUUACUGUGAGGUUUUAAAAGUACACAAAUAAGAAUUGUUUUUUGUAAAAA